CGUGCAGUGAGGGAUAUUGCGCAAUGGGGGAAACCCUGACGCAGCGACGCCGCGUGGGUGAAGAAGGCUUUCGGGUCGUAAAGCCCUUUUUGGCAUGACGAGGAAGGACGGUAGUGCCAGAAUAAGCCUCGGCUAACUACGUGCCAGCAGCCGCGGUAAAACGUAGGAGGCGAGCGUUAUCCGGAGUUACUGGGCGUAAAGGGUGCGUAGGCGGCAGGGCAAGUGAGGCGUGAAAGCCCCUGGCUAAACUAGGGGAGGACAUUUCAGACUGCCCAGCUAGAGUGAAACAGAGGAGCGCGGAAUUCGGGGUGUAGCGGUGAAAUGUGUAGAGAUCCCGAGGAACACCAGUGGUGCAAACGGCGCUCUGGGUUUAGACUGACGCUGAGGCACGAAAGCUUGGGGAGCGAACGGGAUUAGAGACCCCGGUAGUCCAAGCCGUAAACGAUGUCAACUGGGUGUUUGGGACGGGAAACCGGACUGGGUGCCGAAGCCAACGCGGUAAGUUGACCGCCUGGGGAGUACGGUCGCAAGGCUA
This 535-nucleotide ribosomal RNA is filed under the name uncultured bacterium. RNAcentral's name for it is "bacterial SSU rRNA". It matches the Rfam family "Bacterial small subunit ribosomal RNA", at positions 348 to 896 of the family's 1533-position model. The record is from RNAcentral.